RNAcentral lists this ribosomal RNA (292 nucleotides) under uncultured Planctomycetota bacterium. RNAcentral describes it as "uncultured planctomycete partial 16S ribosomal RNA". Lineage: Bacteria; Pseudomonadati; Planctomycetota. The record is from RNAcentral.
GGACUACUGGGGUUUCUAAUCCCGUUCGCUCCCCUGGCUUUCGCGCCUCAGCGUCAGAAGAGGUCCAGCAGCUCGCUUUCGCCACCGGCGUUCCUUCCGAUAUCAACGCAUUUCACCGCUCCACCGGAAGUUCCAGCUGCCCCUACCUCCCUCCAGACUCCCAGUAUCCAAGGCACUUUUCCGGUUGAGCCGAAAGAUUUCACCCCGGACUUGGGAACCCGCCUACGCGCCCUUUAAGCCCAGUGAUUCCGAACAACGUUCGCACGGUUCGUCUUACCGCGGCUGCUGGCAC